AGAGCGAACGCUGGCGGCAGGCUUAACACAUGCAAGUCGAACGGAUCCUUCGGGAUUAGUGGCGGACGGGUGAGCAACACGUGGGAACGUGCCUUUUGGUUCGGAACAACACAGGGAAACUUGUGCUAAUACCGGAUAAGCCCUUACGGGGAAAGAUUUAUCGCCAAAAGAUCGGCCCGCGUCUGAUUAGCUAGUUGGUGGGGUAAUGGCCCACCAAGGCUACGAUCAGUAGCUGGUCUGAGAGGAUGAUCAGCCUCACUGGGACUGAGACACGGCCCAGACUCCUACGGGAGGCAGCAGUGGGGAAUAUUGGACAAUGGGCGCAAGCCUGAUCCAGCCAUGCCGCGUGAGUGAUGAAGGCCUUAGGGUUGUAAAGCUCUUUCGACGGGGAAGAUAAUGACGGUACCCGUAGAAGAAGCCCCGGCUAACUUCGUGCCAGCAGCCGC
Molecule: ribosomal RNA, 446 nt
Filed under: uncultured bacterium
Lineage: Bacteria
Description: SSU rRNA
Rfam family: Bacterial small subunit ribosomal RNA
Source: RNAcentral